RNAcentral lists this ribosomal RNA (400 nucleotides) under uncultured bacterium. RNAcentral describes it as "bacterial SSU rRNA". It matches the Rfam family "Bacterial small subunit ribosomal RNA", at positions 355 to 747 of the family's 1533-position model. The record is from RNAcentral.
UGGGGAAUUUUGGACAAUGGGGGGAACCCUGAUCCAGCAACGCCGCGUGAAUGAAGAAGGCCUUAGGGUUGUAAAGUUCUUUAGUCUGGGGACAAGAGUCAGCGGGUAAUAUACGUUGAUGAUGAGAGUACCAGAAGAAUAAGCACCGGCUAACUACGUGCCAGCAGCCGCGGUAAUACGUAGGGUGCGAGCGUUAAUCGGAAUUACUGGGCGUAAAGGGAGCGCAGGCGGAUAUAUAAGUUAGAUGUGAAAUCCCCGAGCUUAACUUGGGAACAGCAUUUAAGACUGUGUAUCUAGAGUUUAUUAGAGGGGGGUAGAAUUCCAAGUGUAGCAGUGAAAUGCGUAGAGAUUUGGAGGAAUACCAGUGGCGAAGGCGGCCCCCUGGGAUAGAACUGACGCU